Molecule: long non-coding RNA, 428 nt
Filed under: Fukomys damarensis (Damara mole-rat)
Lineage: Eukaryota; Metazoa; Chordata; Mammalia; Rodentia; Bathyergidae
Description: lncRNA (ENSFDAG00000028428.1)
Source: RNAcentral
CUGACACCCAAUAAGUUUAUCGUCUAAUGCAAUUUAAUGAACUGUCAACUUUUCUUCCUGGCAUGAAAACCAUAUUUUCCUCAGAGGUUUCUACUCAAAUUCUUUCCAAUUUUACCCUUGUUGCUUUAUUGAUUCUGCAGUCUGCUUGGGAAGCUGAGGCUAGUUUUAUUUAAAGAAACGCACCAGUAAAUCCAGCUGACCCGCUGAAAUCCAGCUGAAGAGCCGAAGCUCCUCAAGGCUGCAGUGUGGGAGAUGAUCACAAACUGGUGUGAAGAGAGACGGAGACUCAGAGCUCUGCUCCCAGGAGGAGGCAGCAGCGGUGGUGGGACCAGGUGUGUGAGCCCAGCACCACCCAGCACUCGCCCCUGGGCUUCAGGUAGGCACCCUGUGCUCCUGUCUGUCCCCAAAGUGUCUCUGUUGACGGAGGU